RNAcentral lists this long non-coding RNA (5685 nucleotides) under Homo sapiens (human). RNAcentral describes it as "non-protein coding lnc-AARS-1:4". Lineage: Eukaryota; Metazoa; Chordata; Mammalia; Primates; Hominidae. The record is from RNAcentral.
ACCCUUCCAGGACGCGGCCUCCUCGCUUCUUAAAAUGUCUGAGCUCUACGAAGUGGAACUGUUAGCCCUCCGUUUAUUGCCUUACUUCACACUGAAAUAAGCCAACGUUUAUUUUAUUUUAUUUAUUUUAUUAUUUAUUUUAUUAUUUUUUUUCGAGACGGAGUCUCGCUCUGUCCCAGGCUGGAGUGCCGUGGCGGGAUCUCGACUCACUGCAACCUCCGCCUCCGUGUUCAAGCUAUUCUACCUCAGCCUCCCGAGUAGCUGGGAUUACAGGUGCCCGCCACCACGCCCGGCUAAUUUUUGUAUUUUUAGUAGAGAUGGGGUUUCACCAUGUUGGCCAGGCUGAUCUCGAACUGCUGACCUUGUGAUCCUCCCGCCUCAGCCUCCCAAAGUGUUGGGAUUACAGGCGUGAGCCACCGCGCCCGGCCCCCAACGUUUCUUUUUAAGCCUGUCAUAUCUCACAUUAAAUGUGUAAGUCUCUGAACUGUAGGGCUUUGAACAAAGGAAAGUUCCAUGAGAAUACUAUAUGAUGCCAAUUUCUACUGUUAGGAACGCGAUAACAGGUAAGAAAACAAAAACCAAAACGCAACAGAAGACCCGUAAACCCCAUAAUUCCACCAUCCAAUAAACACAACACACAAUGCGUUUUUUCGUUUCUUUUUUGAGUCAGGGUCUCAUUGUGUCGCCCAGGCUGGAAUGCAGUGGUGUGAUCUCGGCUCACUGCACCCUUGACCUCCCACCUCAGCCUCCCAGGUAGCUGGGCCCACAGGCCCGCACCACCACUCCUGGCUAGUUUUUAAACUUUUUGCAGAGACGGAAGUCUUCAUUAUAUUGCUCAGGCUGCUUUUGAUCUCCUGCUAACUCCAGAGAUCCUCCUGCCUUGGCCUCUCAAAGUGUUGGGAUUACAGGCAUGAGCCACCACACCUGGCCAUUAUGUUGAAGGACCACCAAAUACAUAAUGUAUAAUCUAUUUAUAUGAGAUUCAAGAAUAGGACAAAUAAAAUCUAUGCUGAUAAAAACUAACAGAGCUUACCUGUGGAGAAGGAUGUUUGGUCCAGACACAAGAGAACUUCCUGGGUGAUAGAAUUAUUCUGUAUCUUGAUUGGGACCUGGUUACAUAGAUGUGUAAAUUUGUUAAGUCAUGCUACUUUGUAUUUCUAAACUCAUGGAACCAUUAUUUACAGAUAUCACCCAGGCUGGAGUGCAGUGGCCGGGUCUUGGCUCACUGCAACCUCUGCUUCCUGGAUUCAAGCGGUUCUCCUGCCUCAGCCUCCCAAGUAGCUGGGAUUACAGGCACACGCCACCACGCCCAGAUAAUGUUUGUAUUUUUAGUAGAGAUGGAGUUUCACCACGUUGGCUAGGCUGGCCUUGAACUCCUGAGCUCAAGGAUCUGCCUGCCUGGGCCGCCCAAAGUGCUGGGAUUACAGGCAUGAGCCACCACACCAGCCAAAAAUGCUCUAUAUCUUGAUUGAAGCAGUGAUUAUACGUGUAUACAAUUAUCAAAACUCAUGAAAUUUUAUACCUACUAUCUUUGCGUUGUACUCUAUGUAAACUAUAGGUAAUAGACAAAGCCAUGUAAUGAAAAAAAUCCAACUUAAAAAAUACAAGUAGUAAUAAAUUUAUUUGUACCAUUAAAAAGGAGGGUGUGAGGAUUUUGUUGUUGUUGUUGGGGGAGACAGGGUCUUGCUCUGUCACUCAAGCUGGAGUGCAGUGGCACAAACAGCUCACUGCAGCCUCAAAUUCCCAGGCUCAAGCCAUUCUCCCACCUUGGCCUCCCAAAGUGCUGGGAUUACAGGUGUGAGCCACUGAGCCAGGCCCACUUCUGUUUUUUUUUUGUUGUUGUUGUUACAGAGACAGGGCCUUGCCCUGUCACCCAGGCUGGAGUACAAUGAUGUGAUCAUAGCUUACUGUAACUUCAAACUCCUGGCCUCAAGUGAUCCUCCUGCCUUGGCCUCCCAAAAGCACUGGGAUUAUAGGUGUGAGCCACCACACCUGGUUCUUAACACACGUUAACAGGGCAGCUUUCUCUGCAGUACCCCCCUGCUGCCAGCUAGGAAUUCAGUGGUGAUUAAGUUAGAUAUACUCACUACCCUUACUGGACUUCAAAUAGAAGUGAGGACAUAUGUUUAACCAAGAGUCCCAAAAGCAGCAUGAGGCAAAUACACCCUUGUGGUUAAGAGUGUGGGCCCUGGAGCCAGACUGGGCCAAAUUACUAGACCUCUCUGUGCCUGCUUCUUUAUCUGUAAAAUAGGAAUCAACACCUUUGUUGUAAGGAGUGAAUGAGAGAAUCUAUGUAGACCUUCAGAGGUUGCCUAAGAUAAUGCUGAUUCAGGAAGUACAGGGCACUAUGGGAGAUUGUGAUGAAGGAACAUGCCUGGCAUGGUAGCUCACACCUGUAAUCCUAGCACCUUGAGAGGCCAAGGUGGGGGCGGAUCACCUGAGGUCAGGAGUUCGAGACCAGCCUGGCCAACAUGGUGAAACCCCCGUCUCUACUAAAAAUACAUAAAUUAGCCGGGUAUGGUGGCAGGCGCCUGUAAUCCCAGCUACUCGGGAGGCUGAGGCAGGAGAAUCGUUUGAACCCAGGAGGCGGAGGUUGCAGUGAGUCGAGAUCAUGCUGCUACACUCUAGCCUGGGCGACAGCGAGACUCAGACUCAAAAAAAAAAAAAAAAAAAAACCCUUCCCGAAGAAGUGAUUGUUACCUUGGGAACAGGAAGGAUUAGGAAAAAUGAGAUGGAAGGGAAGGACUGAGUGAAGAGGAAAGAGUUCCGUUGAGAGCCCGGGACUCGCAGCCCAGUGAUGGAAGAGCAGAGGCGGAACGAGGACUUUACUCACAAAGGGCGGGGGAUGCUUCUGCUCACAAGUUGUUUGGGGGCAACUUGGUGGAGCAACAAGACUCCCCCUCCAGGCUCCUCUUCCCACACAGGGUGUCCAGGUCUCCAGAGCUCUUUGCGGGAGAAGGACUUAAGGGGACAAGACUGGCCACAGAUGAUUUGCCUCUGGGUGGAGGAGGGGAGUGUCCUCUGCAGCAUCAGAGGACUCUAUUUUUAGCCGCCUCUCUCUUCCCUCAUGCCCAUGUUAGCAGGACUCCUAGAGGUGAACACUUUUCACCUCACCCUUAAGUCCUGGCAGUUUCUUUGAAUUUUUGUUUCUGCUUUAGAGUGCAGUGGGGGAGAAAAUACCGUCCUCAAGAUCUGAGAAACUGGAGAGGAAAAGUCACAGGACAACCAACUUCUCUAUGACAUAGCCCAGCAUCUGAGGAAAGUCCUGCAAUAGUGGAGGUGGAGCAGAGGGUAUGAGCUGGGAAGCAAAUGGAGCAGGUGAGUUAAGUAGGUGCCUGAUCUGGAGGGCCUCACAUGCCACUUAGGAAAAAUGUAAAUGAGUUGGGAGUCUUCAGCAGGAGUGGGGUAAUCACACUCAAAGGUGGCAGAGAUCUUACUGGCUGCUGUGAGACAAAGGAACUGCAGGAAAACCUCUGGGGGCAUACGCACCUGCUAGGAAGCUAGUGUAGUAGACCAGAUGACCACGGCAGUGCAGACCAGGGUGAAUUCAGGAAGUAUUAGAUUGAGGCUACACAGGGUGGCUGACACGUGUAAUCCCGGCACUUUGGGAGGCCAAGGCAGAAAGAUCACUUGAGGCCAGGAGUUUGAGACCACCCUGGGCAACAUAGUGAGACCCCUGUCUAUAAAAAACUAUAAAAUUAAAAAACAAACUCCAAAGUAUUAAAUUUUUUUUUCAGACAGAGUCUUGCUCUGUCGCCCAGGCUGGAGUGCAGUGGUGCGAUCUUGGCUCACUGCAACCUCCACCUCCCGGGUUCAAGCAAUUCUUGUGCCUCAGCCCCCCGAGUAGCUGGGAUUACAGGCAUGCGCCAUCAUGCCCAGCUAAUUUUUGUAUUUUUCAUAGAGAUGGGGUUUCACUAUGUUGGCCAGGCUGGUCUUGAGCCAGACUUCAGGUGAUCCACCCGCCUUGGCCUUCCAAAGUGCUGGGAUUAUAGGCAUGAGCCACUGCGCCCAGCCAAAAUUAUUAGAUUGAGCCAUAUAAAAGUGCUGCUGCUUAGGCCAAAAAUUGCCAAACUGUGGCAAUUUCAUUUGGUUUUACCAAAUAGAUGGUAGAAUUAUAGGCAUGAAGGAUGAAGGCUGGCCACAGAUACUUCAUAGCUUCCCCCACCAGGAGAUGAGGUUUAUUUCCCCACCAGUGGGAUCUGGGCUGGCCCUGUAGUUAGCCUUCACCCAAAAAUGUGAGAAAAGUGGCACUGGGAGAGUUCUGACCCCAGGCCUCAACAGACCUUGCAGCUUCUGCUCUUUCCUCUUAGAAAGAGCCCAGAGACCAGAUCACAAGGUCAGGAGUUCAAGACCACCCUGACCAACAUGAUGAAACCCCGUCUCUACUAAAAAUACAAAAAAUAAAAUAAAAUAGCUGGGCAUGGUGGUGGGCACCUGUAAUCCCAGCUACUAGGGAGGCUGAGGCAGGAGAAACACUUGAACUGGGGAGGCGGAGGUUGCAGUGAGCCGAGAUCGCGCCACUGCACUCCAGCCUGGGCGACAGAGCGAGACUCCGUCUGGAAAAAAAAAGAGAGAAGGAGCCCAGAGACCAUCCACCAUCCUGUGAAGACGAAAGUCACGUGGAGAGGCCUAGCAGCCAUAGCUGAGUCCAGAUACUAGCUGGGGGAAGACAGCUGCUUCAGCCAGCCUGGGAGAGACCAGCAGAGCUUUCCAGACAACUCAGAAUUGUGAGAAAGGCUGUUGUCUUAAGCCAUUGUUUUGGGGCAAUUUGCAACACAGCAGUGGAUAACUGAUAUAAAAGGACAGCAGGGCAGGGCAGGAAGAUUCAUGAUGAACCCCAGGCUUCUGGCUUGAGUAACAGGCUAUUGCAGUACCAUCUUGUGAGGGGAAGUUAGAGGAAAAGCUGAGAGCAGAGCUUGGGUUUUUUGAGUGCUUGGUAGUGGCAUAUGUUCAAUGUUGGACAUGAGGACGGGACUCAUAGAAGACACCCCAAGUGCAAGUGCCAUGUGUGCUUUCGUUUUCAUGACGCUGGAGCUCAAGGAUCAGGUCUUGGUAUAGAUUUGGGUGUCACCAGCAGACAAAUAAAGCCAUAGGAAUGAACAGUGUUGCCUCUGGCAGGGAAAGAGAACCCAGAAUAGAGCCAUGAGGAACAGGCCCAUUUAGGAGGUGAAUAAAGGAGAGGUCUGCCAAGAAGACUGAAGUGGUAGAGAGAAGACCAGGAAGCAAAGUGUGCGUCACUUUCCUCCCCAGAAGAGUGGCCAGAGAAAGAGACUGUUGAUAGAGUUAAAUGCUGCUGAGAAGGCAAAUAUAACAGGGAUUAAAAUGUAGCUUUUAAGCUGAGUGUGGUUGCAUGCAUCUGUAGCCACAGCUACUAGGGAGGCUGAGGCAGGAGGAUCACUUGAGCUUGGAGUUCAAGGCUGCAGUAAGCUGUGACUAUGCCACUGCACUCCAGCCUGGGCAACAAAGUGAGACCCCCCCCAUCUAAAAAAAAAGUGGUUUUCAGAUUUCGGACCUGUAAGUCAUCAGUGUCUUUCAUGAAGGCUAUUUCAGGGGAGUGAUGGAGCAAAAGUCAAGACUGCAGAGGGAUGAGGAAUGAGACUCUGCAUACAAGCAACCUUACAAGACUUUCUGCCAUUAGGAGACAGGCUGAAAGAUGAGGAAUAGAGGGUUGAAUUGUAAAGAGCG